AGGGAUGUAGCUCAGUGGUAGAGCGCAUGCUUUGCAUGCAUGAGGUCCUGUGUUCAAUCCCCUGCAUCUCCA
Molecule: transfer RNA, 72 nt
Filed under: Nothobranchius furzeri (turquoise killifish)
Lineage: Eukaryota; Metazoa; Chordata; Actinopteri; Cyprinodontiformes; Nothobranchiidae
Description: tRNA-Ala (TGC) (tRNA-Ala-TGC-10-1)
Rfam family: tRNA
About the family: Transfer RNA (tRNA) molecules are approximately 80 nucleotides in length. Their secondary structure includes four short double-helical elements and three loops (D, anti-codon, and T loops). Further hydrogen bonds mediate the characteristic L-shaped molecular structure. tRNAs have two regions of fundamental functional importance: the anti-codon, which is responsible for specific mRNA codon recognition, and the 3' end, to which the tRNAs corresponding amino acid is attached (by aminoacyl-tRNA synthetases). tRNAs cope with the degeneracy of the genetic code in two manners: having more than one tRNA (with a specific anti-codon) for a particular amino acid; and 'wobble' base-pairing, i.e. permitting non-standard base-pairing at the 3rd anti-codon position.
Source: Rfam by way of RNAcentral